GUAGGUAACCUGCCUUGAAGACUGGGAUACCUGAGGGAAACUUCAGACAAUACCGGAUAAUAACUAAGGGGACAUCCCUUUAGGAUGAAAGGCGCAGCAAUGCGUCACUUCGAGAUGGGCCUGCGGCGCAUUAGCUUGUUGGUGAGGUAAUGGCUCACCAAGGCGACGAUCGGUAGCUGGUCUGAGAGGAUGAUCAGCCACACUGGGACUGAGACACGGCCCAGACUCC
Molecule: ribosomal RNA, 229 nt
Filed under: uncultured bacterium
Lineage: Bacteria
Description: partial 16S ribosomal RNA
Rfam family: Bacterial small subunit ribosomal RNA
Source: RNAcentral